RNAcentral lists this ribosomal RNA (708 nucleotides) under Streptomyces paradoxus. Its description in RNAcentral is "bacterial SSU rRNA". It matches the Rfam family "Bacterial small subunit ribosomal RNA", at positions 59 to 784 of the family's 1533-position model. Lineage: Bacteria; Bacillati; Actinomycetota; Actinomycetes; Kitasatosporales; Streptomycetaceae. The record is from RNAcentral.
CAGUCGACGAUGAACCACUUCGGUGGGGAUUAGUGGCGAACGGGUGAGUAACACGUGGGCAAUCUGCCCUGCACUCUGGGACAAGCCCUGGAAACGGGGUCUAAUACCGGAUACUGAUCCUCUUGGGCAUCCAAGGUGUUCGAAAGCUCCGGCGGUGCAGGAUGAGCCCGCGGCCUAUCAGCUUGUUGGUGAGGUAAUGGCUCACCAAGGCGACGACGGGUAGCCGGCCUGAGAGGGCGACCGGCCACACUGGGACUGAGACACGGCCCAGACUCCUACGGGAGGCAGCAGUGGGGAAUAUUGCACAAUGGGCGAAAGCCUGAUGCAGCGACGCCGCGUGAGGGAUGACGGCCUUCGGGUUGUAAACCUCUUUCAGCAGGGAAGAAGCGAAAGUGACGGUACCUGCAGAAGAAGCGCCGGCUAACUACGUGCCAGCAGCCGCGGUAAUACGUAGGGCGCGAGCGUUGUCCGGAAUUAUUGGGCGUAAAGAGCUCGUAGGCGGCUUGUCACGUCGGUUGUGAAAGCCCGGGGCUUAACCCCGGGUCUGCAGUCGAUACGGGCAGGCUAGAGUUCGGUAGGGGAGAUCGGAAUUCCUGGUGUAGCGGUGAAAUGCGCAGAUAUCAGGAGGAACACCGGUGGCGAAGGCGGAUCUCUGGGCCGAUACUGACGCUGAGGAGCGAAAGCGUGGGGAGCGAACAGGAUUAGAUA